RNAcentral lists this ribosomal RNA (120 nucleotides) under Fusarium poae. Lineage: Eukaryota; Fungi; Ascomycota; Sordariomycetes; Hypocreales; Nectriaceae. The record is from RNAcentral.
ACAUACGACCAUACCUACCAGAAAAUACGGGAUCCCGUCCGCUCUCCCAUAGUCAAGCUGGUAAGGGGCGGAUUAGUAGUUAGGUCGGUGACGACCAGCGAAUCCCCGCUGUUGUAUGUU